This 740-nucleotide ribosomal RNA is filed under the name uncultured bacterium. Its description in RNAcentral is "bacterial SSU rRNA". It matches the Rfam family "Bacterial small subunit ribosomal RNA", at positions 59 to 789 of the family's 1533-position model. The record is from RNAcentral.
CAGUCGAACGGAGCCUUAACCAAAGAAGCAGCCAGCUUGCUGGAAGCGGAAAAGGGAAAGGCUUAGUGGCGGACGGGUGAGUAACGCGUGGGUAACCUGGCCCAUACAGGGGGAUAACACUUAGAAAUAGGUGCUAAUACCGCAUAACAACAGAAAGCGCAUGCUUUUUGUUUGAAAACCAAGGUGGUAUGGGAUGGACCCGCGUCUGAUUAGCUGGUUGGCGGGGUAAAGGCCCACCAAGGCGACGAUCAGUAGCCGGCCUGAGAGGGUGGACGGCCACAUUGGGACUGAGACACGGCCCAAACUCCUACGGGAGGCAGCAGUGGGGAAUAUUGCACAAUGGGGGAAACCCUGAUGCAGCGACGCCGCGUGAGUGAAGAAGUAAUUCGUUAUGUAAAGCUCUAUCAGCAGGGAAGAAAAUGACGGUACCUGAGUAAGAAGCCCCGGCUAACUACGUGCCAGCAGCCGCGGUAAUACGUAGGGGGCAAGCGUUAUCCGGAAUUACUGGGUGUAAAGGGAGCGUAGACGGUUAAGUAAGUCUGGAGUGAAAGGCCGGGGCCCAACCCCGGGACUGCUCUGGAAACUAUUUAACUUGAGUGCAGGAGAGGUAAGCGGAAUUCCUAGUGUAGCGGUGAAAUGCGUAGAUAUUAGGAGGAACACCAGUGGCGAAGGCGGCUUACUGGACUGUAACUGACGUUGAGGCUCGAAAGCGUGGGGAGCAAACAGGAUUAGAUACCCUG